This 504-nucleotide ribosomal RNA is filed under the name uncultured bacterium. Its description in RNAcentral is "partial 16S ribosomal RNA". It matches the Rfam family "Bacterial small subunit ribosomal RNA", at positions 29 to 523 of the family's 1533-position model. The record is from RNAcentral.
AGUGAACGCUGGCGGCAGGCCUAACACAUGCAAGUCGGACGGUAGCACAGAGGAGCUUGCUCCUCGGGUGACGAGUGGCGGACGGGUGAGUAAUGUCUGGGGAUCUGCCCGCUAUGGGGAUAACCACUGGAAACGGUGGCUACAACCGCAUAACGUCGCAAGACCAAAGAGGGGGACCUUCGGGCCUCUCACUAUCGGAUGAACCCAGAUGGGAUUAGCUAGUAGGCGGGGUAAUGGACCACCUAGGCGACGAUCCCUAGCUGGUCUGAGAGGAUGACCAGCCACACUGGAACUGAGACACGGUCCAGACUCCUACGGGAGGCAGCAGUGGGGAAUAUUGCACAAUGGGCGCAAGCCUGAUGCAGCCAUGCCGCGUGUAUGAAGAAGGCCUUCGGGUUGUAAAGUACUUUCAGCGGGGAGGAAGGCGAUAAGGUUAAUAACCUUGUCGAUUGACGUUACCCGCAGAAGAAGCACCGGCUAACUCCGUGCCAGCCGCCGCAGUAA